CGGCGUGCCUAAUACAUGCAAGUCGAACGCAUUGUGGUUGAAAUGAUAUGAAGAACUUGUUCAGAUUUGAUUUUAAACAUUGCAAUGAGUGGCGAACGGGUGAGUAACACGUGGGAAACCUACCUCUUAGCAGGGGAUAACAUUUGGAAACAAAUGCUAAUACCGUAUAAUAAUUAAAACCGCAUGGUUUUAGUUUAAAAGAUGGUCUUGCUAUCACUAAGAGAUGGUCCCGCGGUGUAUUAGUUAGUUGGUGAGGUAAUGGCUCACCAAGACAAUGAUACAUAGCCGAGUUGAGAGACUGACCGGCCACAAUGGGACUGAGACACGGCCCAUACUCCUACGGGAGGCAGCAGUAGGGAAUCUUCCACAAUGGACGAAAGUCUGAUGGAGCAACGCCGCGUGUGUGAUGAAGGGUUUCGGCUCGUAAAACACUGUUGUAAGAGAAGAAUGACAUUGAGAGUAACUGUUCAAUGUGUGACGGUAUCUUACCAGAAAGGAACGGCUAAAUACGUG
This 513-nucleotide ribosomal RNA is filed under the name uncultured bacterium. RNAcentral's name for it is "bacterial SSU rRNA". It matches the Rfam family "Bacterial small subunit ribosomal RNA", at positions 40 to 507 of the family's 1533-position model. The record is from RNAcentral.